UCAGAUAGGAUUUGAUCUUGUCGAUGUUCAAGCCGUUCUUGUCUUUGUUCGAAUCGGUCCAUCCGAAUCCCAAUAUUUUCGACAGAUGAUGUAUGAGUUUGCUCAAAUGGAUGUGUUUCCUCAAAGGGACAGAUCGGAGGAGAUUGGGUACCCCUAAAGACUGGUGUUUCCGAUUCUGGUUCAGGUUGAGGGGGAUCAGUUCUUCUAGGCAUUCUAACCCAGUUAC
Molecule: long non-coding RNA, 226 nt
Filed under: Musa acuminata (dwarf banana)
Lineage: Eukaryota; Viridiplantae; Streptophyta; Magnoliopsida; Zingiberales; Musaceae
Description: long non-coding RNA (MACU_LNC000568)
Source: RNAcentral